RNAcentral lists this ribosomal RNA (527 nucleotides) under uncultured bacterium. RNAcentral's name for it is "bacterial SSU rRNA". It matches the Rfam family "Bacterial small subunit ribosomal RNA", at positions 981 to 1509 of the family's 1533-position model. The record is from RNAcentral.
UUGACAUCCAGAGAACUUGGCAGAGAUGCCUUGGUGCCUUCGGGAACUCUGAGACAGGUGCUGCAUGGCUGUCGUCAGCUCGUGUUGUGAAAUGUUGGGUUAAGUCCGCAACGAGCGCAACCCCUAUCCUUUGUUGCCAGCGAUUCGGUCGGGAACUCAAAGGAGACUGCCGGUGAUAAACCGGAGGAAGGUGGGGAUGACGUCAAGUCAUCAUGGCCCUUACGAGUAGGGCUACACACGUGCUACAAUGGCGUAUACAAAGAGAAGCGACCUCGCGAGAGCAAGCGGACCUCAUAAAGUACGUCGUAGUCCGGAUUGGAGUCUGCAACUCGACUCCAUGAAGUCGGAAUCGCUAGUAAUCGUAGAUCAGAAUGCUACGGUGAAUACGUUCCCGGGCCUUGUACACACCGCCCGUCACACCAUGGGAGUGGGUUGCAAAAGAAGUAGAUAGCUUAACCUUCGGGAGGGCGUUUACCACUUUGUGAUUCAUGACUGGGGUGAAGUCGUAACAAGGUAAGCGUAGCGAG